GUGGAGCCGACCUGCCAUUGGGUAAACGCAAGGGAGGAGAAAAGGCUCCAUACCUACCUAACAUCUAUCUUCUCAAGAACUCUGCCAGGGAAGGAGUAGUUUCUGUGUUUCAUAAACAGACUGAGACUCAAAGAGGCUAAGUAAACUACCUGAAGCCAUAUAUAGCAACACACAAUGACGGAUAAAACACUAGAUCUGAAUAACAAAGGAUGCAUACUUAAGCAAACUAAGGCAUAUAUAGUUAUCACUAAAUGCUCAACCUGGAAAGAAUACUGGAUUGCAGUCUGCUUUUUCUGUAAAGACAAUAGUAUUAUAAAACCGAAAGAGACAACAGGGAAUAUUUCCCACUCAACUAAGCAUAUCUAAAAGCACAUUUGAAGUUUGGAGACAAUAUUCUGUGUUAUUUUAAGAAAAGAUUCUAUAGCAUUAUUACCUGGUGGUAAGAAAAUAACAUGUAAAAGAAAAGGUAAUAAGAAUAAAAAAAAUAAGUAAAAGUAUGUGAACAUGCUAGACCUGGUUAUACAACUCAACUGUUGAGAAUGCAUUUUUGAAGUUGCCUGCAUGGUUGCUGCAAGCGUUCUUCAGUAUUUAGUAUAUGAAGACAGGCAUAUGCUCUGGCCAUUUCCAGAAAAGCCAAGGCUAUCCUGUAUAUUCUAGCCAUCUGUUGUUAGGUGAAAUGCGUGAAUGGCAUAGAGAAAUGUUAUGGAGAGUGAAUGUUACAUGCCUCUGAGAUACAAUAGAAAAGAAGCCCUUGAUUUAAUAUUUUGGUUCUUAGUUUGACUGUGAUUUAUAGGGAGUGAUAUUGCCCUGGGCCUUUCUGUCUCCUUUGUAUCAGGAAAUGAUUUGGUUUAGAGAAAAGCAGGCAAAGGUUUUAGUGGGACUCCCACCAGGAUAAUGGCCUUCUUUGUUCCUAGCUACUUCUUGA
Molecule: long non-coding RNA, 925 nt
Filed under: Homo sapiens (human)
Lineage: Eukaryota; Metazoa; Chordata; Mammalia; Primates; Hominidae
Description: non-protein coding lnc-LYPD6-2:15
Source: RNAcentral